RNAcentral lists this ribosomal RNA (32 nucleotides) under Juanulloa mexicana. Its description in RNAcentral is "partial 26S ribosomal RNA". Lineage: Eukaryota; Viridiplantae; Streptophyta; Magnoliopsida; Solanales; Solanaceae. The record is from RNAcentral.
GGCGGGAUUACCCGCUGAGUUUAAGCAUAUCA